AUCAUGUCAUAUUUUUUCAACCUUCUACUUUCUAUUAGACCCUGCAUUGAGAUACAUAUAUGAGCACUCGAACCAGAGUCUAAUAUCUAACUAAAAGUAGAAGAAACCGUAAGGUUAGAUUCAAUUACAAGCAUACCUUUUGACGGUUUAUCACUCUUCUUAGUCUUUAGACUCUCCAGGUAGAGUGGACAGUUCCUUCUCCAGUGGCCUU
Molecule: long non-coding RNA, 211 nt
Filed under: Elaeis guineensis (African oil palm)
Lineage: Eukaryota; Viridiplantae; Streptophyta; Magnoliopsida; Arecales; Arecaceae
Description: long non-coding RNA (EGUI_LNC059436)
Source: RNAcentral